GACGAACGCUGGCGGCGUGCUUAACACAUGCAAGUCGAACGGAAAGGCCCUGCUUUUGUGGGGUGCUCGAGUGGCGAACGGGUGAGUAACACGUGAGUAACCUGCCCUUGACUUUGGGAUAACUUCAGGAAACUGGGGCUAAUACCGGAUAGGAGCUCCUGCUGCAUGGUGGGGGUUGGAAAGUUUCGGCGGUUGGGGAUGGACUCGCGGCUUAUCAGCUUGUUGGUGGGGUAGUGGCUUACCAGGGCUUUGACGGGUAGCCGGCCUGAGAGGGUGACCGGCCACAUUGGGACUGAGAUACGGCCCAGACUCCUACGGGAGGCAGCAGUGGGGAAUAUUGCACAAUGGGCGGAAGCCUGAUGCAGCAACGCCGCGUGCGGGAUGACGGCCUUCGGGUUGUAAACCGCUUUCGCCUGUGACGAAGCGUGAGUGACAGUAAUGGGUAAAGAAGCACCGGCUAACUACGUG
This 468-nucleotide ribosomal RNA is filed under the name uncultured bacterium. Its description in RNAcentral is "partial 16S ribosomal RNA". It matches the Rfam family "Bacterial small subunit ribosomal RNA", at positions 28 to 507 of the family's 1533-position model. The record is from RNAcentral.